UGGUCUCGUAAUAUACAAUCA
This 21-nucleotide non-coding RNA is filed under the name Arabidopsis thaliana (thale cress). The record is from RNAcentral. Lineage: Eukaryota; Viridiplantae; Streptophyta; Magnoliopsida; Brassicales; Brassicaceae.